UACGUAGGCAGCAAGCGUUGUUCGGAAUUACUGGGCGUAAAGCGUGCGCAGGCGGUUUCUUAAGUCAGAUGUGAAAGCCCCGGGCUUAACCUGGGAACUGCGUUUGAAACUGGGAGACUUGAGUGUGGCAGAGGGGGGUGGAAUUCCACGUGUAGCAGUGAAAUGCGUAGAUAUGUGGAGGAACACCGAUGGCGAAGGCAGCCCCCUGGGUUAACACUGACGCUCAUGCACGAAAGCGUGGGGAGCAAACAGG
RNAcentral lists this ribosomal RNA (253 nucleotides) under uncultured bacterium. RNAcentral describes it as "partial 16S ribosomal RNA". It matches the Rfam family "Bacterial small subunit ribosomal RNA", at positions 524 to 776 of the family's 1533-position model. The record is from RNAcentral.